UAGGGAAUCUUCCACAAUGGACGAAAGUCUGAUGGAGCAACGCCGCGUGAGUGAAGAAGGUUUUCGGAUCGUAAAGCUCUGUUGUUGGCGAGGAAGGAUAGAGGCAGUAACUGGUCUUUAUUUGACGGUAAUCAACCAGAAAGUCACGGCUAACUACGUGCCAG
RNAcentral lists this ribosomal RNA (164 nucleotides) under uncultured bacterium. Its description in RNAcentral is "partial 16S rRNA". It matches the Rfam family "Bacterial small subunit ribosomal RNA", at positions 355 to 511 of the family's 1533-position model. The record is from RNAcentral.